This 469-nucleotide long non-coding RNA is filed under the name Pan troglodytes (chimpanzee). Its description in RNAcentral is "long non-coding RNA NONPTRT017110". The record is from RNAcentral. Lineage: Eukaryota; Metazoa; Chordata; Mammalia; Primates; Hominidae.
AUUUUCUGCUUCCUGGGCCACCACAGUCUUCUUUGCUGUUUUUGAUUGAAACCAUUUUCAGAGAAGAAUCAACACCAAAGCCCCACUACCUGAAACAGAGCUGGCAUGUGGCAUAUCCUCAGAAACAUUUGCUAAAUGACACCUAGUCUACAGGAGGAGGACUCAUUCUUGACCAUUAGAUUUAGCCAUGCAGAAGUCAGAUCAAGAGUAAACAGAGCAAGAACAGUUUUGGUGCUGUGAUGGGUCAAAAGCCUGAGUCAGAUUACAUGUAUAUAAAUUACCUAGUAAUGAGCAUGACCUCUGUCCAAGCAGAAGGCAAGCAGGGGAGAAGCUUUAGCUGCCCAACUACAGUUAUUCUCUCAACCCAAGCUAAGGUAGUUGGUGCCAUACAUUUCCCACAGGACUACUAUUUUCCAAUAUCAACAUCUUUAAUUUAUUUAUUUAUUUUUGUUUUAGUGCACUAGCUGGA